Molecule: unclassified non-coding RNA, 337 nt
Filed under: Basidiomycota sp.
Lineage: Eukaryota; Fungi; Basidiomycota
Description: partial contains small subunit ribosomal RNA, internal transcribed spacer 1, and 5.8S ribosomal RNA
Rfam family: Eukaryotic small subunit ribosomal RNA (bases 1-47)
Source: RNAcentral
AAAGUCGUAACAAGGUUUCCGUAGGUGAACCUGCGGAAGGAUCAUUUCCGAAAACAACUCUUACAAACCAAUCUUGUGGAAUGUUUUGGGUUUUUUUACUCUUGGAAGGUAGGGUUUAGUUGCGCCAAAUAGUGGCAACAGUCGUGCCAGUGGGCACAUUCGCUGUUGCCCGCCUAUUAUAGCGCAGUGCUUGACACCCUAUUUCUUCCGAGAGGCCAUGAUGAACUACCUUCGGGUUGAUAGUACAUCGUUUUUUCAAACUCUUGUUGUCUUUUACCGGACAGCAGAAAACAAAACAAUGAUACGACAACUUUUAACGGUGGAUCUCUUGGCUCGU